Molecule: long non-coding RNA, 2032 nt
Organism: Cygnus olor (mute swan)
Lineage: Eukaryota; Metazoa; Chordata; Aves; Anseriformes; Anatidae
Exons: 2
Source: RefSeq, a predicted model, not a curated record
UGCAAUAUGCAUAAAACUGUUUUGUUUUUCUUCCUCUUGAACAAGUCUCAGACUACAUCCUAGCCUGUUCUACUCUUGGUAGACAAUUCCUAAGAAACAAAUGCAGCCAGAUGUAGUAACCUAUAUUCCAACACUACCUGUGCCCUUAGGAUUUGCAUGUCUAUGGCUGAGAGUCUUUUUUUUUAGUGUUCUGAAAUCCACCACUGUACAAUCCUUCGUAACAUUAACCACAAAUGUCUUACUCACUUUUGUACACCUUCAGAGGGAGAUGAAUUUAUUUAAAAAAAAAAAAAAAAAAAAAAAAAAGAUAAUCCUUAAUAAAACCAAGGAAAUUCACACCUAAAACAUUAGGUUAAAACAGCUUGAAGGGAUGGAUUAUGGUGACACAAGCCAGGAAACUGAGAAUUAAGCUAAAGGUUUUCCUUAUGUUCCUACUGGAGUAGGGAAAUGAAGCUUUCCAACUUAAUCUCCAGGCAACUUAUCUUACUUACUGUCACUGUCCCAUAUUACUCCAAGAGAAACCUCUGUUCCCCUUUGAACAUGAGAGUGCUGGCUGGCACAAGAAGCCAAGCCAGGCUCUGUUCUUAUGGCUAGCUGGUCCAGUGAAUGAAGGGAGGACAAGUUAACAACAAAAACUCUUUUGGACAGAGAAGGGAAAGUAAAUACUUACUGUUAAUCAAUUUUGAAAAUACUGUUUGGCCUUGUACAACUCUACGUUGCUGCCUGGGAGUUGCUUUGGAGCCUAGCUUCCACAGCUCUGGCUUGAAGUCUGGUGGCAGAGCUGGCUAUUACCGACAGUGCUGCUAAUGAUCUUCCCUCCGCAGCAGCAAAGACAGAGUUAGCUUGGUCAGCCUCUGCCGUUUCCACGUUGAAUACAUGUCUGUGGCCGAGGGAGUAAGGGCAAAGACCACAUGAUGACGGGGUAUGUCCGUCACAGAUGCCUCAAUGACUUUGCUCAAGAAGUUGAGAUCAGAGACAGGAUGUUAGUCAGUUCAGUUGCUGCUAUCUCACAGAAGAAAGAACAUGUCUCUGGAACAACUAUGCAAAGCAAGAUAAAACAAAUGAAGACAACUUUUUUUGUUUCCAUCUGCUAGUGUGUCCUUAAAGCUGGUGCGAUCUGUUACAACUCGUUUUUUCCCCUCACUGGCUAUUAAAUUAAGUUUUACUGGGAGAAGAUGCUAGGGUUUUUUUCCAGAAUGAAUGCAAACAAAAGGGAAUAAUUAGAUUACCAAUAGCCUUACUAGACUAAAAGGUUCUUCAUUUUAGCACUAAAUUAGUUGGUUUCAAUGUGUUUGGACAUAGCAAUUUGCAUGUGUUUCACAUAUAGGCUCCUUUUAUAAUUCAGUCCAAUUGAAACCUCACUGCAAUUUAUUUCAUAAUUGUCCUCGUUUAAACUCACAAUUGACAGUUCUUUUUAGUCCACAAGAGUAUAUGAUUUCAAUUUCCAGUUUCUUCUUCCUUCCUCUCCAGCAUACUUCCAUACUUCUGUGCCCUCAGCACAAUGCACUGCUGCUUUUACCUUUCUACACUUAACAUCUUCUUGACUUCUGCACUGGCAGAAUACAUACUUUGAUAGUCAACUCUUUCUAGUAUCCAUGUCCAUAAAUGGUGAAUGUAUUUUCAGAUAUAUUGGAAAAGCAUAGUUUGCAGAGCACGGGAAAUGUUGCAAAUUAUCCAUCAAUAUUAUUUGUUUGCUUUAAUAAAUGUCAGCUAACCCCCCCACAGAGUAGUCACUUUUAAGUGCUUUGAGAUAACAUUUUCUGAUCAGUUGGAAGACUGAAAACACUCACCAAAAGACUAAGUGGGUAGUUACAAAAGGGGAAAGUAUCUUAGAAAGCUGAGUAUUAUUCAGGUUAAUAGGCUACAUUGGUUACACAAUUGUAUUGUUGUAAACAAAUAAAUAAUAUAUUUCAAUUGUUUCCUGUUCAUAUAUUCACUCAUUUGUAUGUUGGUGGCAUUCAAAUGUUCAAAGGAGAGAACGAAUGCUAACUGUUUCCAUUCUGUGCAAACACAAACCAAUGAAAGGUUCUGU